UGGGGAAUCUUAGACAAUGGGGGAAACCCUGAUCUAGCCAUGCCGCGUGAGCGAUGAAGGCCUUAGGGUUGUAAAGCUCUUUCAGCUGGGAAGAUAAUGACGGUACCAGCAGAAGAAGCCCCGGCUAACUCCGUGCCAGCAGCCGCGGUAAUACGGAGGGGGCUAGCGUUGUUCGGAAUUACUGGGCGUAAAGCGCACGUAGGCGGAUUAGUCAGUCAGAGGUGAAAUCCCAGGGCUCAACCCUGGAACUGCCUUUGAUACUGCUAGUCUUGAGGUCGAGAGAGGUGAGUGGAAUUCCGAGUGUAGAGGUGAAAUUCGUAGAUAUUCGGAGGAACACC
This 338-nucleotide ribosomal RNA is filed under the name uncultured bacterium. Its description in RNAcentral is "partial 16S ribosomal RNA". It matches the Rfam family "Bacterial small subunit ribosomal RNA", at positions 355 to 710 of the family's 1533-position model. The record is from RNAcentral.